GCGCUAGUAGCUCAAUUGGAUAGAGCGUUGGCCUCCGAAGCCAAAGGUUGUGGGUUCGACUCCCGCCUGGCGCA
RNAcentral lists this transfer RNA (74 nucleotides) under Phycisphaerae bacterium. RNAcentral describes it as "tRNA-Arg". It matches the Rfam family "tRNA". Rfam says of the family: Transfer RNA (tRNA) molecules are approximately 80 nucleotides in length. The record is from RNAcentral. RNAcentral also lists the same sequence under 1 other name. Lineage: Bacteria; Pseudomonadati; Planctomycetota; Phycisphaerae.